GCAAGAAAGGCGUAGAAGAAAAUAACUCCCAAAAAUAAGAAUGACUGACUCAAAAUGUUCCUCAAUCAAGCCUACGACGGGUUCGUGGUGGAAGAAAUACUGGCAGCGACAGUGGUGAGGAAGAGGAAUCGGACGGCGGAGCCCUUGCUCUGGCAGUGUUGUGUAAUAAGAUUCUGUUUCCAAAUCGAAUUUGGAUUACCAUUGCGCUUACGCCACCGGUAGCGAGGUUCUUGGAGAGGGGACAGAUUAUUAAGAAAAAUAUGGUGGAAUUCGUUUGAGAGACAAACAAAAGAGUGUUAAGAUUGUGACCUAAUACAGAAGAAUUGCAAGAAGCGGAAGUAACGAUUGCAAAAUUGCAUUGCCAUUGCAUACUGUUGCUUGGGCUGAAAAAGUAGAAGAGUUCUAACUUUGAAUCUAGGUGUAUGGAGUCCAUGGAUGUAAAAAGUGGGCCUCCCAAUACCCUUUCCAAUUAUGUACUUGUAACUACCAUUUGGAUUCGGCAGAGAAAUACAUCUAUGUUUUGGCAAUAAAACGUAUUCUUCUUAAGUUAGGGGUUCUUUUUUUUUAACGCAAGUCAUUUAGCAAUGACAAAGCAGUCUUGCUAUUCUUACGUGGAAAGAUAGUUCAAAUUGCUAGACAUGAUGAAAAGCCAGUGGCACUGUGCAAAGUUGCAAUGGCUUUCCAAUAUCACAUGUGCCUCUCACGUGCUCCUAAAUUAGUUAUAAUAAAAAUGCGAUUAGAUUAUAGUUGUGACUCG
Rhododendron vialii is the source of this 757-nucleotide long non-coding RNA. RefSeq lists it as uncharacterized. The transcript is spliced from 3 exons. NCBI's taxonomy places the organism in Eukaryota, Viridiplantae, Streptophyta, Magnoliopsida, Ericales, Ericaceae. The record is from RefSeq and is a predicted model, not a curated record.